This 292-nucleotide ribosomal RNA is filed under the name uncultured bacterium. RNAcentral describes it as "partial 16S ribosomal RNA". It matches the Rfam family "Bacterial small subunit ribosomal RNA", at positions 505 to 796 of the family's 1533-position model. The record is from RNAcentral.
GUGUCAGCAGCCGCGGUAAAACGUAGGAGGCGAGCGUUAUCCGGAUUUACUGGGUGUAAAGCGCGUGCAGGCGGUUUGGUAAGUUGGAUGUGAAAGCUCCUGGCUUAACUGGGAGAGGUCGUUCAAAACUACCAGACUUGAGGGCGGUAGAGGGAGGUGGAAUUCCGUGUGUAGUGGUGAAAUGCGUAGAUAUACGGAGGAACACCAGUGGCGAAAGCGGCCUCCUAGACCGAUCCUGACGCUCAGACGCGAAAGCUAGGGUAGCAAACGGGAUUAGAUACCCCGGUAGUCC